This 6656-nucleotide long non-coding RNA is filed under the name Manihot esculenta (cassava). RNAcentral describes it as "long non-coding RNA (MESC_LNC011871)". The record is from RNAcentral. Lineage: Eukaryota; Viridiplantae; Streptophyta; Magnoliopsida; Malpighiales; Euphorbiaceae.
CAUGUUAUGAUAUGAGUUACUGCAGAGUAGUCCAGGUGAGGCCUAAUCGCCCCUGGCACAGUUGGACAUACUAUUAUGUAUGUAGAGGGCUAUGGUGACAAGUUCAUCCUUGAGAUGAUAUGUUUGUGAUAUGACGCAUUUCAUGAGAGCAUGUAAUUAAUGAACUGUUUUUAUUGUUCCUCCUCACUGGGCUCUAGAGCUCAUCCCACUCCCUUGACCCCAGUUUUGCAGGUUCUGAGAUAGCUAUGAGAAGGCAAAGUCAGCAAGAGUACAGAGGACAGUUAUGCAUGAAUGUAUGUUGUAAUAGGAUAGUGGACAUGAUGUAAUUAAAAGACGAGUUGUCAUGUAAUGUAUCGAUAUGUACUGUCAUUUACUGGAUAGAUUUAUGCUUUCCCUAGUGUCACUGCUAUAGUGUGAUGUAUGAUUCAUCCCUUGUACACAAUCCUGUUUUACGUUUCUUGAUGAGAAAUGUGUGAGUUAGGCUUAAUGUAUGGCUUCGAUGAGAUACCAGUGGGAUGUGUUACAUAUUGUGUUAAUCCCUGGACCACAACAGAUAGUAGUCCCUGGUACAGGCCCUGAGGGCCAUUUCAGAUUGACAUAUCUGAGUCGCAGUAGUUAAGCCUACAGCGUUUUACAGGAUUGGUGAGUAUCCUUGUAUCAUGUAUGGGAUGUAUCAGGUACUCAGAGAGUAUAGUUGGCUUGCUACGGGUCCCGGCGGCCUUAAGCCGAUCUGGAUCCUAGUGCCAGUGAUGGUUCGGGCCGUUACAGAGGGGGUACCGGUUUCCUGGUCGUUACAGAUUGGUAUUAGAGCUUAGGGCCUCAAGAGUACGGUGUGUUGAGCAUCUUUGUUCAUGGACUAGAGAUAUCCCACAUCGGAAAGAGGUGUUGUCUUGUAUAGGAGGGGAAGCACAAUAGGUAAAAUCAUGUCCACUAGGAUAAGAUGUGGAGUUUGUCUUGCAUGAUGAUGUGGAAUGCCAUGAUGUGUUGCCUGUGCAUUAUUGAUAUGGUUGAUAUGUGUUGAGGAUUCAUGUGUUCUCACAUGGAUCAUUUGAUGAUAUUUUUGUGUGUGAUGUUGUGCUUUUCAGAGGCAGGAUGAGAGGAACUCGUCGAUCUGGUAGAUUGACUGGAGCUCCGCCGGAGGAUGAGGACAUGGAUGCUCAUCUCCCCGUUCUGCAAAGGGCAACAUCAGAUAGUGUAAGCAGAGAAGGUACAUCAAUGGACCCUAGCAGGUCUGUUGAGGAGAGUAGAAGGGGAGUUGUGCAGAGUGGUAUGUCAGGGUUUAUGAGAGUCAUAGAGGAAGAUGAGUAGAGCAGAGAUAGUAGCUUUGGCAUGAGCAGGUUAGGAGGAGAUAUGGGUGAGUCCCAAGGAGGCACUCAGGCCUCGAGGUUUGUUCCAUCUCAGUAUCCACCCUACCCGUGGGGGGCAGAGUACCCGAUGAGAGGUACAUCAGAGUUUUUUCGGUAUAACCCAUAUCCCACCUUUAUGCCCUAUCCUUCCUUUUACCCGCCAUAUCCACAGUAUACCAUGUUUCCACCCUUCUUUUGGUACCCAGGGUCAGUAAACCCUAACCCAGAGCAUGUUGCACCUCCUCCAACAUCAGUAGAACCAGUAGCCCCAGUUAUCCAAACACCCAAGCCUAGUUCACCUGGAGGAAGUACAGUACAGAUGACAGACUAUGUGAGGUUAGACGUUCCCCAAUUUGAGACUGGUGAUGACCCUGUUGAGUAUCUUAGACUGGUCAAGAUGAUAACUGAUGAGUUGGGAGCCAAUGAGAGUAGAGCCAUUCAGAUGGCAGGGAGCACAUUGACAUGUGAGAAAGCAAGGGAAUGGUUCAACCAGUAUGUGGAUUCGAGGGUAGAAAGCUUAUCCUGGGAGCAGUUUGCUCAUGAGUUUGUAGGAGGGGUUGUAGAUAGGUCCAGGGAGAGUUUCCACGAUAUAGUAGAUAUGGUACAGAAGAGGGAAGCUAGCACCACACUUGCAGGGACAAGUGAUGUUAAUCUCUCCUCUCUGCAUGAGGCUGAUACAAAGAGUAAGAAAGGAGGUAGAGGCCUCAGGAGAUCAAAGAAGAAUAAGUUCUGGAAGCAGAUAGGUGAGGGUUCGAGUUCUGGUUUGAAUACCUCAAAAUGUCCGAGGUGCGGUAGGCCGCACAAGGGAGUCUGUCUCGUAAGGACAACAGCAUGUUUUAGGUGCGGACAAGAGGGGCACAUAGCACGUGAGUGUUCCACCGCCACUUUGCUAACACAGUCCCAGCAGACAGUCUCAGACAGAGUGGCUCAGCCAGAAGCUCUAGCCAUGGCACAGGGCAGAGGCAGAAGGAGCGGGAUCACUCCUUCUUCCACAGGUUCCCCAGGUGAAGGUCCAUCAGUGCCAGCACGGAUCUUCGCUUUGACGCAGCAGGAGACGGACACAUCGGACAUGGCGGUGACAGGUACUUUUCACUUCCAUAUGUUUUGAUGUGUUUAUUAAUAGUGACUCUGAUGUUUCGCUUUCCUUAGGGCCGUGAGAGCCGUCGAGAGUAUGGGUUUGAUAACUUCUGGGAUUAAAAUGUCCUCUUUGGGUUAAUAGACUCAAGUGUGAUCCGUCAGUGGCAGAGUUAGUCUGCCAAUAGAGUUGAGUGCGAGUUUUGAGUAGGUGCCUUCCAGCUGACCUUGUGGUUCUAGAGUGACUGGUUGAUGUCAUUCUAGGGGUGGAAGGGCUAGCUACUCAUCGUACUGCUUUAGAUAGCGGAGGCAGAGUAGUCAGGCUUUGAGACUAGGAUGGAUCACAGGUAAUGUGUGAGGGGACAAAGUAGAGAUGCCUAGAAGUUUGCUAUCAGCCCUAGAGGCUCUUACGCUAUUUAGAAGAGGUUAUCAAAGGUUUCUUGCUGUUUCCGAAAACGUCGUAGUUAGUCAGAUUAGAAGGGGAACAGUUUUAGUGCCCGCAGCCAGAGAAAAGUUGUAGAUAGGACCCAGACACGUCAUCAGGUUUACCACUCGCUAAACGAAGAGAGUGAGAACUAAGAAUAGCUAGAUAGUGAAUCAGGAAAGAUCUUCGAGAGUGGUGCUAUGAGAUGCUAUUUAUCCAGGUAUAGGGAGAGUGAUCUCUCAUCUCCGAGUGCAGCCCUCAAAGAUAAGAAAUAAGUCAAAGAACAGAGUAAGAUCAGAAUAAGAGGAAGAGAAAAGUAAGUGUCAUAGAUCAGAGUAACAAAACAAAAGAAAGAAAAAGAGUACGCAAACUAGAAUAGAACAGAGAAAGAAAAGAGUAAGAAUAAGUGUAAGUUCAGGAGGAGAGUUCAGUAUAAUCUGGGCUUCAGUGGUAGUUGAGGCAAAGGAAAGGGUUAGCCUUUUCAUUAGGAAGUUCCCGAGGGAAGUUCCGUUAGUUUGAGCUCGGAUCUUCACCCUGACUCAGUAGGAAGCUAUCACAUCGAACACAGUGACGUCAGGUAUGUUCACUUGUGGAUGUUCGGAUGUGUAUGCUGUUUGUUUUGAAUCCGCGUGUUUCUACUUUCUUGUGACGUAGUGAGCUGUUAAUCGAGUGGGUUGGAUGACUUCUAGGCUUAGAGUGUUUUCUCUGGGUUAGUGGACCCGAGUAUGAUCCAUCUGAGACAGAGUCAGUCAGUUAGCGUAGUUUCGAGUUUGGAGUGAGUAGAGACUAUCCAGCUGACCUAAUGGUUCUAGAGUUGACUAGUGGAUGUCAUUCUAGGGUGGAUUGGCUACUUACUCAGUGUACUACCUGUGUCUGUAGAGACAAGGUAGGAGAGUUCAGAGGCUAAGAUGGAUCAGAGAUAGUCCUUGGCAGGGACAGAGUAUAGGUGCCUAGAGGUUUGAUGUCAGCCCAGUAGGCUCAACGGUACACAGGAAAGGUUAUCAAAGGGUUCUAGCUCUUGUGAGCGAGUGUAGGAGUCAGAUCAGGGAAUGUGCCUCAAUACCCGUUGCUAGUGAGUUCUAGAUGAUUGUCCCAGAUGAGCUGUCAGGUUUUCCAUCUGUCAGGGAGCCAGAGUCUGGAAUAGACGUGGUAUCUGGACGCGGAACCAUUUCUUUCCUUCUACCCUACAGAAUGGCAUCUGCAGAGAGAGUAUAGUCAGCAUAGUAUAGAGAAGCUUGGUAGAGAAAGGUUAUCCGACCUAGUACCUCACCCUGGAAUGUUCCAGUGUCAGUGUGAGAAACGAAGGAUGAAACCUUGAGAUUUUGUAACGAUUGUGAGCAGUUACACAAAAUCACUACCAAGGACAGGUGUUCCCACGCAGGAGUAAUAGUCUGUGGAGACAGCGAGUAGGAGCUGCUGAUCCUCCACGAUAGAUUUAAGAGUUAGAGAGAGACCAAAAAACAUAAAAGCCAGUAUAGGAAAGAAGAAGAAAGGCGGGCAAGGAUCAGAGUGCGCAGCAAAAGCGUAGAAUCGUUCAGAAAACAGAGAAGCAUGCCCAGUAGCUACUCAGUAUUGCUCCUCUGACCGGAGUGAGUACAAGGAAACUAAGGGUAAAGAUCUAGCGUAGUGAGAAAGCUAAAAAGAGCCAAAGAGAAAAAGAAAGGUAGUAGUCCCUAUAGAGUAUGGACACAGAUGCAGCAGAUAAGAAUCCACAGAGUCAGAAGAUAUGACUAACCCGGAAGUAUGUACUCCAGUGGUAUCUGUGUCGCUUCUUAGAGGAAGGUGGUAGGCUUUCCUUAUUUGCUUGUUUGCAUAUGUGUUUGUUGUGUGAACAUUCGAGGACGAAUGUUCUUUAAGGGGGGAAGAAUGUAAUACCCGGCUAUAUUCAGACAUCGGAAUUCCUACCAUCCGGUGGAAUUCGAGGAUGUCAGAGGUCUCUGGAAGGGUAAGAGAAAGUUGUAAAGGUUUAGAAUGGAAAAGGAGUGCGUUUUGAAGACGAAAGGCUUUGGGGACAAAGGCCAGGUUCGGCCGCCGAAGGUUAAGUUCGGCCGCCGAAAGCGCCCACUGUUCGGCACCCGAAACUCAAGUUCGGCCCCCGAAUGUUGCAUGGUUUUGCAUGCGUUUCGGCAGCCGAAGCUGAGCUGGUCAGCCAGCCCUUGUGCACUCCUCAGUCGGUGAAAUGGCCAGGUGUUGCUUCCUAAUCACAGACAGAGGAUUAGGCCACGUCUCCCAUGACUCAUCUGCAAGCUUUUAUCAGCUUAUGCAGAGGGUUGGUUGUGUCUACGUGGUUUGAACGGUUUUGAGAGAAAAGAAGAGUUUUGGAGGUUUGGUGAAGGUGAAGUCGUGGUGGCCAUUGUUCAGUGUUUAGGUUGUCUCAGCUUCUGGUUUCACAAGGUAAGGAAAGCUUUGAACUGGUUUUCAUGGUUUAUGAGCAGUGUUUAAGAAGGUUAAAGGUAGAGUUGUUAUACAGGUUUUCAAGGUUAGUUUUGAUGUUUGAAUGGUGUAAGCAUGUUUAUGUGUAUGUUUGUUGUUUGUGUUGGGGUUGUUAGGUAGUUUUAGGCCCCUUUGAACAUAUACUUAAGUAUAUGUGAGUUGAGGGAGGAGUUAUGCAUGUUUUGCGAGUAAGAAGUGGAUGAAGGAGGGAGGUUGCCGUCGGGGCUGAGUUCUGGAUGAACUCAGGUUCGGCAGCCGAAGGAGCAUUCGGCCGCCGAACCCCUUGCAUGGUGGCUUAGGCUGCCACAGCUUGCCCCCGAGUGUUUUUGAGGUUCGGCUCUGUUUAGGGGAUUCGGCCGCCGAAGGUUAGAGACUUUCGUCUCUGGAGUGAGUUUUAGCCCCCGAACCUUACCCCCGAAAGGGUUCGGCAGUCGAAAGUGGAGCUUCGGCCGCCGAAGGUACUUGAGUUUCGGCUCUAGGGAGGACAUUCGGCCGCCGAACCUGCCGCCGAAAGUGUUCUAUCCAGCCUUCCUUUGCUUGUUUUGCAUGCAUGUGUUAAAGUGUUCUAGAGGGGUUUUUGGGCAUUGGUGAAGAGUUAUUUAUGAGUAUGUUUGGUGCCUCAUUGACGUCCUCCAUUGUAGGAUUGGACCCGAGGAACUGCAGAGUUUAGCAGUCGUAGCUGUCUCAGAAUUAGAGGUAGCCCAGAGUUAGCCCAGUAAAGGCUACAGGUGAGUGGAACUAAACUACAUCUUUUAUCUUGAGAAAUAACACGAAUCUAGCAUGAUCCAUGCAUCAUAAAAUACCAUGUUAUGUAUUAGGUUGUAUUGCAUUAGAAUCCACGAAUAUGCUGCAUUGCCUAAGACGAUAUUUGUGUGGAUGAAUGUUGGAUGAUCCUUAGCCCUUGAUAGAGCACAGAGACAGAGUUAUGGCAUGAGAUAGCCAUACCAGGUCGCCCCUGGAUAGUCCAGGUCGCUCCUAGUACUAAGAGUGAGACAGCUGGGCUGUCAGAUUAGAGCGCAGAGCAGUCCAGGUGAGGCCUAAUCGCCCCUGGCACAGUUGGACAUGUUAUGAUAUGAGUUACUGCAGAGUAGUCCAAGUGAGGCCUAAUCGCCGCUGGCACAGUUGGACAUACUAUUAUGUAUGUAGAGGGCUAUGGUGACAAGUUCAUCCUUGAGAUGAUAUGUUUGUGAUAUGACGCAUUUCAUGAGAGCAUGUAAUUAAUGAACUGUUUUUAUUGUUCCUCCUCACUGGGCUCUAGAGCUCAUCCCACUCCCUUGACCCCAGUUUUGCAGGUUCUGAGAUAGCUAUGAGAAGGCAAAGUCAGCAAGAGUACAGAGGACAGUUAUGCAUGAAUGUAUGUUGUAAUAGGAUAGUGGACA